AUCUCAAUCCAUUUAUCAGCAAUGGCCAUGUGGAGACGGUAAUCAAAUCCAACACCACCAUCUUCAACUGGAAUGCAAAAUGCUGGCAUUCCACUAACAUCUUCACCAAUCGUAACAGCCUCAGGGAAGAGACCAUGAAUCAUAUCAUUCACGAGCAUCAAAUAAACCACGGCAUCUACAUCAGUUGCAUAUCCAAAGUACUCAUUGUAGUUGCCAGUAAAAGCUACCUGCAAUCCAUGAUGAGUGUACAUCAUUGAAGUCACCCCAUCAAAUCUGAAACCAUCAAACUUAUACUCAUCCAACCACCACCUUGCAUUUGAAAGAAGAAACCUUAGUACCUCCCACCUUCCAUAGUUGAAAAGGCGAGAGUCCCACAUCCAAUGAUGACCCCGUGAUCCAGAGUGGAAGUAGUGACUGUCCGUACCAUCAAACAUGUUCAGCCCAUCCAAUGUAUUAUUUGAUGCAUGGCUAUGAACAAUAUCCAUGAGAACAAGCAAGCCUAAUUCAUGAGCUUUAUCUAUUAAAGACUUCAAAUCAUCAGGAGUUCCAAACCGGCUGCU
This 560-nucleotide unclassified non-coding RNA is filed under the name Hevea brasiliensis (rubber tree). The record is from RNAcentral. Lineage: Eukaryota; Viridiplantae; Streptophyta; Magnoliopsida; Malpighiales; Euphorbiaceae.